This 253-nucleotide ribosomal RNA is filed under the name uncultured bacterium. Its description in RNAcentral is "partial 16S ribosomal RNA". It matches the Rfam family "Bacterial small subunit ribosomal RNA", at positions 524 to 776 of the family's 1533-position model. The record is from RNAcentral.
UACAGAGGGUGCGAGCGUUGUCCGGAAUCACUGGGCGUAAAGGGCGCGUAGGUGGCGCCCCAAGUCGAUGGUGAAAGCUCGCCGCUCAACGGCGAGUCGGCCACCGAUACUGGGGCGCUUGAGCACUGUAGAGGCUAAUAGAAUUCCGUGUGUAGCGGUGAAAUGCGUAGAUAUACGGAGGAACACCAGAGGCGAAGGCGGCCUACUGGGCCAGUACUGACGCUGAGACGCGAAAGCCAGGGGAGCGAACGGG